ACUUUAAAAAUUCCAAUCUGGAUUAAAGUGGCUUCACAAUGGGGCAAAGUUGAUACUCGACAAUGUGUAAUCAGAUGAUUAGAUAACCAAUGACUGGUUGGCUCAUCCUUUUGGAGAUAUCUUCUUGCCUAAACUGAGAAACUAAGCAACCACAGGCCAGACUGAAGGAAACUUGUUGACUCAGCCUUCCAUCCUUUCGAGGAUGCUGAACUGAAGAAGCUGAUUUACAGGCGAUGGAUGGAUUAGAGACCUCUGAUCUGCCAUUCAUAGCAAACUAUUCAUAGCAUGGGGGCUGGGUUAUUUCAGAGACUGCUUCUUCCCGAUUAUAUCUCUCCACCCGAUCUGAUCCAGCAGAAGAAGUUGUCAGGGUUCCAAGAAACACCCUCAACGAAAGAAG
Long non-coding RNA from Pantherophis guttatus, 397 nucleotides. RefSeq lists it as uncharacterized. The record is from RefSeq and is a predicted model, not a curated record. Lineage: Eukaryota; Metazoa; Chordata; Lepidosauria; Squamata; Colubridae.